AAGACUGCCUUUAUAGGACCUUCGGUUUCGGCCCGACUAAUUGAAAUAAUAUUCACUGUCUUU
RNAcentral lists this transfer RNA (63 nucleotides) under Iphione sp. YZ-2018. Its description in RNAcentral is "tRNA-Arg". The record is from RNAcentral. Lineage: Eukaryota; Metazoa; Annelida; Polychaeta; Phyllodocida; Iphionidae.